CGACGAUAGAAAAUAGCAGAAGUUGUCAGAGAUGCGCACACCCCUCGUCACGCGCCUCUUGGCUAGCAAGUUGUGUAGAACUUUGCUCGAGGACAUUCCGGCAACCAUCUGUUUCCGGAAGAACUCUGAGCGCAGGGCAGGAAGCAGAGUUCGCAAAUUUGCGGGGAAAGGUGGUUGUCUGCCAAUACGCCUGUUACUGUGAAAAUGCUCCGUUUGAUUUAUUUUCUCUCUCCACUCAACUUUUCUAAAGACUUAACAGGAGAAGAGAUCAAAAACAUGCAUAUUUGAGCGAGACAGAGACAGACAGAGAGAGCGAGAGAAACAUAGAGAGAGAGAGAUGGCUAGAGGAAGAUUGAGCAAGAUGGAAGGAAGAGAGACCAGGGAAAGUACAGGGUGUAAAUUGAUCAGAACAGAAGAGCAGAAGGUGAGAACCAACAAAAGAAGAAACAACAAGAGAAGCUUUAGAUAAAGGAAGAAGAGGAGUCAGCUGUUUGAGACGGAAACUAAAGAUGCAGCAGAAGGCCAUUGCCAUCCAAGCAAAGAGUACAAAUGCAAGGACACCUACCUUUUGUCAUUGACCCCUGACCUGUGUGUCUGGGCAUUGACUGUCUCUUCUCCCCUCAUGUCACUGGAGCUCCCUGUCAAUACUUACCUGGUUUAGACACCAUCCCUCAGCGCUGUGGUCAGAGAGUGGGGGAGACCAGAUGCACUGGAGCACCAGGAGAGGAAGAGGAGGAAGGUGGAGGGAGAGAGGGGGAGGGAGAAACAUAGAGAUGGGGAGCAGUGAAAGGGAUCAAGAUCGAGCAUGUUUAAAAAAAAGGGGUGAAAAUGAGAGCGAGAGAAGUUUUAAUGGAAAUGAUAUAACUGUUGUCUGUAAGCAGAUGUACGUUGACACUGACAUUCAUACUCAUUCAUCAUAAACAUUUAACAGAAAUGAACAGUUG
RNAcentral lists this long non-coding RNA (944 nucleotides) under Salmo salar (Atlantic salmon). Its description in RNAcentral is "lncRNA (ENSSSAG00000106512.1, ENSSSAG00020068417.1)". Lineage: Eukaryota; Metazoa; Chordata; Actinopteri; Salmoniformes; Salmonidae. The record is from RNAcentral.